Molecule: ribosomal RNA, 497 nt
Filed under: uncultured bacterium
Lineage: Bacteria
Description: partial 16S ribosomal RNA
Rfam family: Bacterial small subunit ribosomal RNA
Source: RNAcentral
GAUGAACGCUGGCGGCGUGCCUAAUACAUGCAAGUCGAGCGAACGGACGAGAAGCUUGCUUCUCUGAUGUUAGCGGCGGACGGGUGAGUAACACGUGGAUAACCUACCUAUAAGACUGGGAUAACUUCGGGAAACCGGAGCUAAUACCGGAUGAUAUUUAGAACCGCAUGGUUCAAAAGUGAAAGACGGUCUUGCUGUCACUUAUAGAUGGAUCCGCGCUGCAUUAGCUAGUUGGUAAGGUAACGGCUUACCAAGGCAACGAUGCAUAGCCGACCUGAGAGGGUGAUCGGCCACACUGGAACUGAGACACGGUCCAGACUCCUACGGGAGGCAGCAGUAGGGAAUCUUCCGCAAUGGGCGAAAGCCUGACGGAGCAACGCCGCGUGAGUGAUGAAGGUCUUCGGAUCGUAAAACUCUGUUAUUAGGGAAGAACAUAUGUGUAAGUAACUGUGCACAUCUUGACGGUACCUAAUCAGAAAGCCACGGCUAACUACGUG